UAUCGGGCCUGUCGACUAGCUCCCAUCCGUCUGCUCCAGAUUCUAGAACGGGAAGAACCUGUACCCUCUGUGAAGCACUCCCACUUCUUUUUCUUGCCCCUCCCCUCACUGGGGUGCAAGCAUCAAGUCAGUCAGCUCCAAGUUGGGAGGAAUGCCUGCGCUUCCCUGCCGAGCAGCGCUGAAACCGAGAGGUCGCGGCUGAGGAAGCUGGUCACAAAGACGUUCUCCACUUGAACGUGGGGGAUGUGGCUGAAGACCGCAAAUGCUUGGUCUUUGGGGGUUGUGGAUUUUGGUCUCUUCUGCAGAAGUGGGAUCUCCAUGGCCAACAGUGGGGGGUCUCCCAGAGACCCCCAGACGGCUCCCAGGGGGAAAGCACCACAUCUAUACCCUAAUGGUGCAGACCAUCUUAAUGAAAACUGCGUCCCUCUUGUUGAUGCCUCUGGCCUCUUCCCAGCAGGACCACAGCCAGUAACCCACCACGAGAGUGUCAGAAGUUACUUCCAGUGAAAGCUGAACUGAAUGAACUGCAUUUUAAACAAAAACCCCCACAUUUGUUCUAGAUGGAGUCUGGCAGACCCACACACAGCUUCAGUGACCACUUUGAGCACCAAUUAAUGAUAAAAGUUGAAAGGGACACAAAAGAUUUCCAGAGGGACAAACCAUCAGCAUGAAUGCUCUGAAGUAUGUUAAGUUCUAAAAAUUCCCAAAGAUUUGGGAUUUAUAGUCCUAGCGCCAAAGAAGGAAGGCAGAUCACGGAGGUCAGUGACUUUAGCUUGAAAUGAAGCCUAUUUCCGGCCCUUCUCUGAUCUUCAGACCAACAGGGAGGUCUUCUCAACAUUAAAAAAAGUGCUGCCGUGCUCGAUCAAGAGCCCACCUUCUAUCUGCGAACCGAAACAUCGGAAAGAAAUACAGAGGAGAUGCGGGGGAAUUUUAACAAAUGAAGUGUCCUAACUUCCGUCCUGUUUGAGAAUUUAAGCGGCGCAUGCUAUUUUCGGUCAUGCUUAUUUUAAAUGUUUGCCCGCUGCCAUGAGGUUGUGCAGAAUGGCCCUCCACACCCCCACACCCCCACUGCCCGGACGGGACCGCCCUGAAAGAGAAGCUCACCGCUCAGAAGAAUACACACACUGGUCCCGCUGCCCUGGCCCCAAGGACGGGAGCAACUCUCCAGGGUGAAAAAGUCCCAAGGGUGGGGGGUCGACCAAGGGGUAGGAGGGGGUUUCCUGGGUGCUGGACAUGGCCCCUGCUUGAUGAGCAGGGUGGCUACAUGGGGGCGAGGG
Hyaena hyaena (striped hyena) is the source of this 1277-nucleotide long non-coding RNA. RefSeq lists it as uncharacterized. Lineage: Eukaryota; Metazoa; Chordata; Mammalia; Carnivora; Hyaenidae. The transcript is spliced from 3 exons. The record is from RefSeq and is a predicted model, not a curated record.